UGCUUCUCUGAUGUUAGCGGCGGACGGGUGAGUAACACGUGGAUAACCUACCUAUAAGACUGGGAUAACUUCGGGAAACCGGAGCUAAUACCGGAUAAUAUUUUAACCGCAUGGUUCAAAAGUGAAAGACGGUCUUGCUGCCUUUAAUGAUCGCGCUGCAUUAGCUAGUUGGUAAGGUAACGGCUUACCAAGGCAACGAUGCAUAGCCGACCUGAGAGGGUGAUCGGCCACACUGGAACUGAGACACGGUCCAGACUCCUACGGGAGGCAGCAGUAGGGAAUCUUCCGCAAUGGGCGAAAGCCUGACGGAGCAACGCCGCGUGAGUGAUGAAGGUCUUCGGAUCGUAAAACUCUGUUAUUAGGGAAGAACAUAUGUGUAAGUAACUGUGCACAUCUUGACGGUACCUAAUCAGAAAGCCACGGCUAACUACGUGCCAGCAGCCGCGGUAAUACGUAGGUGGCAAGCGUUAUCCGGAAUUAUUGGGCGUAAAGCGCGCGUAGGCGGUUUUUUAAGUCUGAUGUGAAAGCCCACGGCUCAACCGUGGAGGGUCAUUGGAAACUGGAAAACUUGAGUGCAGAAGAGGAAAGUGGAAUUCCAUGUGUAGCGGUGAAAUGCGCAGAGAUAUGGAGGAACACCAGUGGCGAAGGCGACUUUCUGGUCUGUAACUGACGCUGAUGUGCGAAAGCGUGGGGAUCAAACAGGAUUAG
RNAcentral lists this ribosomal RNA (708 nucleotides) under uncultured Staphylococcus sp. RNAcentral describes it as "bacterial SSU rRNA". It matches the Rfam family "Bacterial small subunit ribosomal RNA", at positions 79 to 781 of the family's 1533-position model. The record is from RNAcentral. Lineage: Bacteria; Bacillati; Bacillota; Bacilli; Caryophanales; Staphylococcaceae.